Molecule: transfer RNA, 74 nt
Filed under: Halobacteriales archaeon QH_8_67_27
Lineage: Archaea; Methanobacteriati; Methanobacteriota; Halobacteria; Halobacteriales
Also listed under: 1 other name
Description: tRNA-Val
Rfam family: tRNA
About the family: Transfer RNA (tRNA) molecules are approximately 80 nucleotides in length. Their secondary structure includes four short double-helical elements and three loops (D, anti-codon, and T loops).
Source: RNAcentral
GGGUUCGUGGUCUAGUUGGUUAUGACGCGGCCUUUACAAGGCCGAGACCGGUGGUUCAACUCCGCCCGAACCCA